RNAcentral lists this transfer RNA (84 nucleotides) under Fidelibacterota bacterium. RNAcentral's name for it is "tRNA-Leu". It matches the Rfam family "tRNA". Rfam says of the family: Transfer RNA (tRNA) molecules are approximately 80 nucleotides in length. Lineage: Bacteria; Pseudomonadati; Fidelibacterota. The record is from RNAcentral.
GCCCGGGUGGUGGAACUGGUAGACGCGCUAGGUUCAGGACCUAGUCUCCAUUAGGAGGUGCGAGUUCAAGUCUCGCCCCGGGCA